CUACGGGCGGCACCAGUGGGGAAUUUUGGACAAUGGGGGCAACCCUGAUCCAGCCAUGCCGCGUGAGUGAAGAAGGCCUUCGGGUUGUAAAGCUCUUUCGGCCGGGAAGAAAUCGUAUGGGUUAAUACCCUGUGCGGAUGACGGUACCGGCAUAAGAAGCACCGGCGAACUACGUGCCAGCAGCCGCGGUAAUACGUAGGGUGCGAGCGUUAAUCGGAAUUACUGGGCGUAAAGCGUGCGCAGGCGGUUUUGUAAGACAGGCGUGAAAUCCCCGGGCUCAACCUGGGAACUGCGCUUGUGACUGCAAGGCUAGAGUAUGGCAGAGGGGGGUGGAAUUCCACGUGUAGCAGUGAAAUGCGUAGAGAUGUGGAGGAACACCAAUGGCGAAGGCAGCCCCCUGGGCCAAUACUGACGCUCAUGCACGAAAGCGUGGGUAGCAAACAGGAUUAGAUACCCCGGUAGUC
RNAcentral lists this ribosomal RNA (464 nucleotides) under uncultured bacterium. RNAcentral describes it as "partial 16S ribosomal RNA". It matches the Rfam family "Bacterial small subunit ribosomal RNA", at positions 339 to 795 of the family's 1533-position model. The record is from RNAcentral.